UGAACGUGAUAAAAUACCUUUUACCGCCC
This 29-nucleotide small RNA is filed under the name Bombyx mori (domestic silkworm). Its description in RNAcentral is "ovarian small RNA-30791". The record is from RNAcentral. Lineage: Eukaryota; Metazoa; Arthropoda; Insecta; Lepidoptera; Bombycidae.